CCGGAAUGCAGUGGUGCAAUCCUAGCUUACCAGUCUUGGACUCCUGGACUGAAGUAACCCUUCUACCUUAGCAUCUGGCUAAUUUUAAUUUUUUUUUUUUAGUAGAGAUAGGGUUUCCCUUUGUCACUUAGGCUGGUCUUGAACUCCUGGCUUCAAGUGAUCCUCCUGCUUCGGCCUCCUGAAGUACUGGUAUUACAGGCAUGAGCCACUGUACCUGACCCUUUUUUUCUUGUUUUUGAGACAGGGUCCGUCUCACUCGGUUGCCCAGGCUGGAGUACAGUGGUGUGAUUGCAGUUCACUGCAGCCUUAAACUCCUGGGCUCAAGCAAUCCUCCCAUCUUACCCCUCCAAAUAUCUGGGACUACAGAUGUGCACCACUAUGCGUGGCUAAUUUUUUUAAAACAAAUUUUGUAGCAGUAGGGUCUCACUAUGUUGCCCAGGCAGGCCUCAAACCCUUGGCCUCAAGCUAUCCUCCCACCUUGGCCUCCCAAAGUGCUGGGAUUACAGUGUGAGCCAUUGCACCAGGCCUGAUAAGGUGAUAUUUGAGCAGAGAUAUUUAAAAAGUGAGAGAGACAGCCAUGUGGUUAUCUACAGUCCAAUAUACUCCAGCCUAAGGGACUAAGGGGGAACAUGCUUGGUGUGUGUAACAUGGAGGAAGCCAGCUGUGGCUAAGUGGCAUGAACAAGAAGGUGUGGUAGGUGCAGAGGGUGUAGGUGCAGCAGGUAGUAGGUGCAGAUGAUGUAGGUGCAGUGGAUGUAGGUUCAGAGGGUGUAGAUGCGGAGGAUGUAGGUGCAGAGGGUGUAGGUGCAGAUGAUGUAGGUGCAGCAGAUAGUAGGCGCAGAUAGUGUAGGUGCAGACGGUGUAGGUGCAGCGGAUGUAGAUGCAGAAAGUAUAGGUGCAGGGGGUGUAGAUGCAGUGGAUGUAAGUAGUGCAGAGGGUGCAGGUACAGAGGGUGUAGGUGCAGAGGGUGUAGGUGCAGUGGAUGUAAGUAGUGCAGAGGGUGCAGGUGCAGAGGGUGUAGGUGCAGUGGAUGUAAGUAGUGCAGAGGGUGCAGGUGUAAAGGGUGUAGGUGCAGAGGGUGUAGGUACAAAGGGUGUAGGUGCAGAGGGUGUAGGCACAGAGGGUGUAGGUGCAGUGGGGACCCAAUCAUUCAGCACCUUUACAGAAGUAAUGGGACAUGGGAUACAUUUGGAAGAUAGAGCAGACAGCAUUUGCUGACUAAAUAUGGAAUUCAGCAGGCAGGGGUAGGGGGAGAAGGCAGAGUCCAAAGUGACGCCAAAAGCCUCUAGACAGCACUGGAAAGACAUAGAUGCCAUUAUCUGAAAUGGGAAAGAUUUUGGAAGGAGCAAAUCAGAGAUAACCUCAGGAG
RNAcentral lists this long non-coding RNA (1368 nucleotides) under Homo sapiens (human). Its description in RNAcentral is "HSALNT0198021". The record is from RNAcentral. Lineage: Eukaryota; Metazoa; Chordata; Mammalia; Primates; Hominidae.